GGAGCCAUCGGGAGGUAUACCAAUCCAGCUAGGAAAAGAAACCUGCCAGGAGUCUUGGAGGUUGGCGACUGUGCUAAUGACUUA
RNAcentral lists this microRNA precursor (84 nucleotides) under Equus asinus (donkey). RNAcentral describes it as "mir-9014 microRNA precursor family". It matches the Rfam family "mir-9014 microRNA precursor family". Lineage: Eukaryota; Metazoa; Chordata; Mammalia; Perissodactyla; Equidae. RNAcentral also lists the same sequence under 1 other name. The record is from Rfam by way of RNAcentral.